UACGUAGGCAGCGAGCGUUGUUCGGAAUUACUGGGCGUAAAGAGUGUGUAGGCGGUGCUCUAAGUUCGGUGUGAAAUCUCCUGGCUCAACUGGGAGGGUGCGCCGGAAACUGGAGUGCUUUGAGCGUGGGAGAGGAAAGCGGAAUUCCUGGUGUAGCGGUGAAAAUGCGUAGAUAUCAGGAGGAACACCUUGUGGUGUAGCGGCUUUUCU
Molecule: ribosomal RNA, 210 nt
Filed under: uncultured bacterium
Lineage: Bacteria
Description: partial 16S ribosomal RNA
Rfam family: Bacterial small subunit ribosomal RNA
Source: RNAcentral